Molecule: ribosomal RNA, 253 nt
Filed under: uncultured Mucilaginibacter sp.
Lineage: Bacteria; Pseudomonadati; Bacteroidota; Sphingobacteriia; Sphingobacteriales; Sphingobacteriaceae
Description: partial 16S ribosomal RNA
Rfam family: Bacterial small subunit ribosomal RNA
Source: RNAcentral
UACGGAGGAUCCGAGCGUUAUCCGGAUUUAUUGGGUUUAAAGGGUGCGUAGGCGGCUCAUUAAGUCAGGGGUGAAAGACGGUAGCUUAACUAUCGCAGUGCCUUUGAUACUGAUGAGCUUGAAUGUAGUUGAGGUAGGCGGAAUGUGACAAGUAGCGGUGAAAUGCAUAGAUAUGUCACGGAACACCAAUUGCGAAGGCAGCUUACUAAAGUAUGAUUGACGCUGAGGCACGAAAGCGUGGGGAUCAAACAGG